RNAcentral lists this ribosomal RNA (1749 nucleotides) under Triticum aestivum (bread wheat). RNAcentral's name for it is "partial small subunit ribosomal RNA". The record is from RNAcentral. Lineage: Eukaryota; Viridiplantae; Streptophyta; Magnoliopsida; Poales; Poaceae.
AUGGCGGCGAAGGAGGCCUUUCUCGCCGUCGUCCUGCUCCUGUCCUUGCUGAGCUCGCCGCUGCCGUCGGGCGCCCAGGCAUCGGUGUUCCCCGUCAAUGUCUGGCCCAAGCCGACGUCCAUGUCCUGGGCAGAGCCUCUCGCCGCCAUACCGGUGUCCGCGUCGUUCCGCAUCGUGGGGACGUCCGGGAACAGCCCGUACCUCGUCUCCGCCACGCAGCGCUACACCGCGCUGCUCUUCGCCGAGAGGUACAGGCCCAUCGUGCGGCCGGCGGUCAAUGUCACCGCUGGGGGCCCCGCGCUCCAGAGCCUGACCGUGUCCGUGUCCGACCUGUCCGCCCCGCUCCAGGACGGCGUGGACGAGUCCUACGAGCUGGAAAUCCUCCCCACGGGCGUGGCCACCAUCACGGCGGCCACGGUGUGGGGCGCCAUGCACGGGUUGGAGUCGUUCUCGCAGCUCGCGUGGAGGGGCCGGCAAGGGGAGCUGCUGGUGGCCGCCGGCGUGCGCGUGGAGGACAAGCCUUUGUACCAGCACCGUGGCCUGAUGCUCGACACCGGGAGGACCUACUUCCCCGUCGUCGACAUCCUGCGGACCAUCGACACCAUGGCGGCCAACAAGAUGAACGUGUUCCACUGGCACAUCACGGACUCGCAGUCGUUCCCCAUCGAGCUGCCGUCCGAGCCGAUGCUCGCUGAGAUGGGCGCGUACGGUGAGGACAUGAGGUACACCGUCAAGGACGUCCAGCGCAUCGUCGAGUUCGCCAUGAGCCGCGGCGUCCGCGUCGUGCCGGAGAUCGACGCACCUGGCCACACGGCGUCGUGGGCCGGCGCGUACCCGGAGGCGGUCUCCUGCGCGGGCAAGUUCUGGCUGCCGGACGCGAGCGACUGGGGCAGCAGGCUCGCGGCCGAGCCGGGGUCCGGCCAGCUGAACCCGCUGGAGCCCAAGACGUACGAGGUGGUGGCCAACAUCAUCAACGACAUCACCUCCAUGUUCCCGGAGGGCCUCUACCACGCCGGCGCCGACGAGGUGACGCCGGGAUGCUGGGAGACGGACCCGUCGAUCCAGGCGGACAUGGAGAAGGGCGGCACCCUGAGCCAGCUCCUGGAGCGGUACGUGCGCGCGGUGCACCCGCACGUGGUGUCCAAGAACCGCACGGUGGUGUUCUGGGAGGACGUGCUGCUGGACGUGGAGGUGAACGUGAGCUCGUCGGUGAUCCCGCCCGCCACCACCAUCCUGCAGACGUGGAACAACGGGGCCAACAACACGAAGCUGAUCGUGCAGGCCGGUUACCGCGCCAUCGUCUCCUCGGCCUCCUUCUACUACCUCGACUGCGGCCACGGCGACUUCGUCGGGAACAACAGCGUGUACGACGACCAGAGGAGCGACUACAAGACGGACGGGGGCUCCUGGUGCGGGCCGUUCAAGACGUGGCAGCGGGUGUACGACUACGACAUCGCGUACGGGCUCACGGCGGAGGAGGCCAAGCUGGUCAUCGGCGGCGAGGUGGCGCUGUGGACGGAGCAGGCCGACUCCACGGUGCUGGACGCCAGGAUCUGGCCGCGGGCGUCGGCCAUGGCGGAGGCGCUGUGGUCCGGCAACCGCGACGCGUCCGGCCGGAAGCGGUACGCGGAGGCCACGGACAGGCUCAACGACUGGCGGCACCGCAUGGUGGGGCGAGGGAUCCGCGCCGAGCCCAUCCAGCCGCUCUGGUGCCGCACGCGCCCCGGAAUGUGCGACCUGGUUCGAUGA